Molecule: long non-coding RNA, 2073 nt
Organism: Homo sapiens (human)
Lineage: Eukaryota; Metazoa; Chordata; Mammalia; Primates; Hominidae
Exons: 2
Source: RefSeq, a predicted model, not a curated record
GAGAGCCCUAGUCCAUCCACAUUCUCACCAGCACCAGCCUGACUCCUUUUCCCUAAUUAGGACCCCACAGUGACUUCACAGCGGAGAAGACUGACAGCACGACCUCAGCCGGGGGCCAAGGUCAAUGUCAGCAAGGACAGCCUUGUUGAGAGCACGCGCCCUGGGUAGGAUGUGACGCCAGUGGAGUGCUGCCGCCGCGCUUUCUUUCCCCUGGCGCAUAACACCAGUCACUCAUGAGAAAAAUAGCACGUUCCAAGAGUGGGGCAUCCUGCAGAAUUUCUGACUGGUACUCCUAAAAACUGUCAAGGCCAUCAAAAACAAGGAAAGUUGGAGAAACUGUCACAGCCGAGAGGCACCUAAGGAGACAUGCCGACCAAAUGUCAUGUGGUGUCCUGGACGGGCCCUUCCUGGGACAGGGCAAGGACAUUAGGGAAGAAUCAGGGAAAUCUGAAUGCACCAUGUAGAACAGGGCCUUUAGCCAAUACUUGUGUUUCAAUACUGGUUCAUCAGUGGUGGCAGAUGCACAGCACUAAUGUAAAAUUUUAAUAAUAAGGGAAGCUGUGUGAGGGCUAUAUGGGGACUCUGUGACAUCUUCUCAAUAUUCCUGUCAAAACUGUUCUAAAAAUAAAGUCAGCUUAAAAAACUGUCAGCAACAUGCACGCAGCUCUGGAGAAUGGGGAGCAGCCCUCAUGAAGUCGUGUGCAUGAAAGGUGAAGACUUCACAUCAACGAAAGCCAUUCACAGGUCUGUGUUUGGAAUCCCAGGGUUUGGAAAACAUGCAUCUCAUUUCCUCUGGAGGUGAAAUGUGAGUUGGUCCUGCUGCCCACAUGCAUUCCCUCAAGAUGCAGAAAGCCAUGCCUGGCUGUCAUUCUGCUGAUUAGGCCCGGGCAGGGUUGGACCGCUCCACAUCGGGGCAGCAACCCAGGUGACCACACGGCAGGGAUCUCCUCCACGGUUGUGUGGGAAAGCCCUGGAGACCGAGGGACGUUCAGCAGCAUCAUGGCCCCCACAUCUCAGGCAGGCGGCAUGGGGUGCUAAGCCCCUUCCUCCCCUUUAAAAAGAAGAAUCAUGGUUUUGUUUUGUAAGAAAGGUCCGGCCUCAUAUUUAAAAACUGAGUAACAUAGGAGACCAAGAGGAAGUCAAAAGCAUGCUCCAAACUCUCCUUCCAGAUAACCAACUUUGUUCAAUCUCACAAAGGACAACUUUCCUCCAAGGGUCCAGUAGAACUGGAAAGAGGGACAGGAGUAGAAAUAAUGUUAGUCACGGGCAUCGUUUAUCAGAAAGAGCAUCUCCUGUGUUUGAGUUUCACAAGAACAAACCAAGGUGAAGCCGAAGGAAACACUUGAAAUAAAGGUUUCACCUCACAGAGACUCAAGCACUGGAAGACCUGCUAAAAGCUACCGUGAAAGAGCUUGCGAACGAAGGGAACUCCACGUUGGUAAACCAGAUGUUCCGGGUUCCAAGUUACAUUUUUACUCCCAACCCCUCCAUGCUUUCUAACGUUAUUAUUUUUUGGACGUGAUCAAAGUUUGUAACAUUUAACUUCUGUUCCUCACACCGUGGUUUCCAUUGUCACUGUCACCCGGUUUAACAUUCAGAUGAUUCCAGAGCUUGUCCCCAGCCUUUGCUGUGGUUCCUACCCCCUUGAGUUUUGUCUUCAUCAGCGUUUGUCACCUGGAUUUUGUCAUCUGAGGUUGCUGGAGAGGCCCCUGUGCUGGCUCACCGUGUAAUUUAUCAUCCUACCUGGAGCACUUGACUUCUACUUUUUAGACUUUUUAUCUGGAAAUGAUUUCAAACUUAGACAAAGUCACAAAAGCAAAAAGAGUGCAAGGAAUAGCCAUAUACCCAUUGCUCAGAUUUACCUAUUAUUCUAUCCCAUUUGCUGUAUCAUUUGUGUUGUAAGAACAGGAGUAUUCUCUUACAUAACCUCAACACAGUCAUCAACCUCAUACAUCUCCAUUAGUAUUAAUAAGAAGUAUUUUUACAUGAUAUGCCAUCUGUAUUCCAAUGUUGUCAGAUGUUCUAAUAAUAUCCUGUAAUUAAUGAAUUAAAAGAUGAGGUCUAGCUCUGUUA